Molecule: ribosomal RNA, 243 nt
Filed under: uncultured Actinomycetales bacterium
Lineage: Bacteria; Bacillati; Actinomycetota; Actinomycetes; Actinomycetales
Description: partial 16S ribosomal RNA
Rfam family: Bacterial small subunit ribosomal RNA
Source: RNAcentral
UACUCGAGUGGCGAACGGGUGAGUAACACGUGGGUGAUCUGCCCUGCACUUCGGGAUAAGCUUGGGAAACUGGGUCUAAUACCGGAUAGGAACCAUCUUUAGUGUGGUGGUUGGAAAGUUUUUUCGGUGUAGGAUGAGCUCGCGGCCUAUCAGCUUGUUGGUGGGGUAAUGGCCUACCAAGGCGGCGACGGGUAGCCGGCCUGAGAGGGUGUACGGCCACAUUGGGACUGAGAUACGGCCCAG